GACGAACGCUGGCGGCGUGCCUAAUACAUGCAAGUCGAGCGAAUGGAAGGGAGCUUGCUCCCUGAAGUUAGCGGCGGACGGGUGAGUAACACGUGGGCAACCUGCCUGUAAGACUGGGAUAACUUCGGGAAACCGGAGCUAAUACCGGAUACGUUCUUUCCUCGCAUGAGGAAAGAUGGAAAGAUGGUUUCGGCUAUCACUUACAGAUGGGCCCGCGGCGCAUUAGCUAGUUGGUGGGGUAAUGGCCCACCAAGGCGACGAUGCGUAGCCGACCUGAGAGGGUGAUCGGCCACACUGGGACUGAGACACGGCCCAGACUCCUACGGGAGGCAGCAGUAGGGAAUCUUCCGCAAUGGACGAAAGUCUGACGGAGCAACGCCGCGUGAGCGAAGAAGGCCUUCGGGUCGUAAAGCUCUGUUGUCAGGGAAGAACAAGUGCCAGAGUAACUGCUGGCACCUUGACGGUACCUGACCAGAAAGCCACGGCUAACUACGUGCCAGCCGCCGCAGUAA
RNAcentral lists this ribosomal RNA (512 nucleotides) under uncultured bacterium. RNAcentral describes it as "partial 16S ribosomal RNA". It matches the Rfam family "Bacterial small subunit ribosomal RNA", at positions 28 to 523 of the family's 1533-position model. The record is from RNAcentral.